This 67-nucleotide transfer RNA is filed under the name Marmota monax (woodchuck). Its description in RNAcentral is "tRNA.Gly". The record is from RNAcentral. Lineage: Eukaryota; Metazoa; Chordata; Mammalia; Rodentia; Sciuridae.
GGUUGUAGCUCAGUGGUAAAGUACUUGCCUACCAUGCAGGAGGCCCUGGGUUCUAUCUCUGGGACCA